This 589-nucleotide ribosomal RNA is filed under the name Aureobasidium pullulans. RNAcentral's name for it is "eukaryotic LSU rRNA". It matches the Rfam family "Eukaryotic large subunit ribosomal RNA", at positions 51 to 655 of the family's 3401-position model. The record is from RNAcentral. Lineage: Eukaryota; Fungi; Ascomycota; Dothideomycetes; Dothideales; Saccotheciaceae.
CGGAGGAAAAGAAACCAACAGGGAUUGCCCUAGUAACGGCGAGUGAAGCGGCAACAGCUCAAAUUUGAAAGCUAGCCUUCGGGUUCGCAUUGUAAUUUGUAGAGGAUGCUUUGGGUAAAACGCCAGUCUAAGUUCCUUGGAACAGGACGUCAUAGAGGGUGAGAAUCCCGUAUGUGACUGGAAAUGUUAACCUAUGUAAAGCUCCUUCGACGAGUCGAGUUGUUUGGGAAUGCAGCUCUAAAUGGGAGGUAAAUUUCUUCUAAAGCUAAAUAUUGGCGAGAGACCGAUAGCGCACAAGUAGAGUGAUCGAAAGAUGAAAAGCACUUUGGAAAGAGAGUUAAAAAGCACGUGAAAUUGUUGAAAGGGAAGCGCUUGCAAUCAGACUUGUUUAAACUGUUCGGCCGGUCUUCUGACCGGUUUACUCAGUUUGGACAGGCCAGCAUCAGUUUCGGCGGCCGGAUAAAGGCUCUGGGAAUGUGGCCUUCACUUCGGUGGAGGUGUUAUAGCCCAGUGUGUAAUACGGCCAGCCGGGACUGAGGUCCGCGCUUCGGCUAGGAUGCUGGCGUAAUGGUUGUAAGCGACCCGUCUU